This 273-nucleotide unclassified non-coding RNA is filed under the name uncultured fungus. Its description in RNAcentral is "partial contains small subunit ribosomal RNA, internal transcribed spacer 1, and 5.8S ribosomal RNA". The stretch from base 1 to 73 matches the Rfam family "Eukaryotic small subunit ribosomal RNA", at positions 1759 to 1831 of the family's 1831-position model. Lineage: Eukaryota; Fungi. The record is from RNAcentral.
GCAAACUUGGUCAUUUAGAGGAAGUAAAAGUCGUAACAAGGUCUCCGUUGGUGAACCAGCGGAGGGAUCAUUACAGAGUUUAAGACUCCCAAACCCAAUGUGUAUUUACCAGUUUGUUGCCUCGGUCGACCUUACUCCUGGGGGGGUAAUUUAAAGGUAGGCCGAAGGCCCUAUUUAAAUUCUUGAAUAUUUCAUCAUCUGAGGAUUUAUUUUAAAUAAGUUAAAACUUUCAACAACGGAUCUCUUGGUUCUGGCAUCGAUGAAGAACGCAGC